RNAcentral lists this long non-coding RNA (418 nucleotides) under Solanum tuberosum (potato). RNAcentral's name for it is "long non-coding RNA (STUB_LNC011144)". The record is from RNAcentral. Lineage: Eukaryota; Viridiplantae; Streptophyta; Magnoliopsida; Solanales; Solanaceae.
GACAAAUCUUAGUAAGCACGCUACCUGGCCGGCACUGGUCUCUGGUCUUGACAGCACUUCUGGGCUAUCAAACGGGAAUGCUGUUCUGUUAAGCCAACCCAGGAGGUGCUCCUUGGCACCGUAGACUCUCGCCAAAACCUCUAACACGAGUACUCAUCUUAUCACGUUUAAUUCAAUCUUCUAUUAUAAAAGAUGAUGGUCCAACCAACGUAAGCCUGACAAAUCUUAGUAAGCACGCUACCUGGCCGGCACUGGUCUCUGGUCUUGACAGCACUUCUGGGCUAUCAAACGGGGAGCGCUGCUCUGUUAAGUCAGCCCAGGAGGUGCACCUCUUGGCACCUCAUCUACCCCCACUCUACGUCAACUCCCUUCUCUAAAGGAUUGACACACAGUAUUAUUACUGCUGGAAUAAUACUGC